GUGAGUAGGCGGUACUAUCUGUGAAUCGGAGUGCACGAGGGCGGAGUUUGUCGGAAUGCAGGCGGAGAAAAAACAACGGCCCCGCACACAGUGUUAACGCGAGGGGCGUGACGCUGGUAUGGCGCAGCGCCUCCACGCACAUCACCGCGCAAGUGGGAUGCAGCCCUCAGUAGGUUAAUCUGCACUUCAGGGGACUCAGCAGCUUGCUGCCGCUUACAUAUUCCCACAACUUUACACCUUUAUACUUAGCGUCAUCUAAUUUAAUCCUUUACUUUCUUUGCUCUAGUACAACUCCGUUAUUAUGGCUAUAGACGCUCCUGUUAUUUUAUCCGCUCUCUUCUUUACAAUCAUCGCCAUUAUUAUUGCCUCGGUAUUUUUAGCUAAAAAAUCUGCACCAAAGAACGGCAAGCAGAAGCGAGAAAAAGAGGCGAGACCGGAGCACACUGCUGAGGUCUCUGAGCCCCGAGUGAAGCCUACCAUAGCGGAGAAAAGACAAGAAGAGCCCGUUUCAGCACCCCCUGUGGUUGAGGAAAUUGGAGUCGCAGAUGAGCCUCCGGUCCUUGAAGCUGAAGUCGCCUCAGUAGACCAGGCACAAGUCCAGGCUGCCCCAGUAGAGGAGCCCUUACCUGAAGUCAUCCCAACCUCUGCAACUGUGGAAGUGCCCACCUCUGAGCCUGUCCCAGAGCCAGAGCUCAAACCGACCCCAGAGAAGACGCUUACAGAAUCUAUGCUUGAGCUAGUCUCAGAACCUGUCCCUGAGCAUGUUUCAGAAGCUGCCCCACAACUGGACUCAAAACCUUCUGCUGUGCUGGUGUCAGAAACUGCUCCUGAGUUGGUUUCUGAGCCAGCCCCUCAACCAGUCUCAGAACCCAUUCCUGAACAAGUCUCAGAACCAGCCCCUGAGCCAGUUUCAGAACCAGCUCCUGAACCAGUCUCACAACCGGCCCCUGAACAAAUCUCACGACUGGCCCCCGAACAAGUCUCAGAACCAGCCCCAGAACCAGUCCCAGAACCAGUCCCUGAAUCAGUCUCAGAACUGACCCCUGAAUCAGUCUCAGAACCGGCCCCUGAAAAAAUCUCAGAAACAGCCCCUGAACCCAUCUCAGAACCAGCCCCUGAACCAAUCUCAGAACCAGCCCCUGAAGCAGUUUCAGAACCUGCCCCUGAACCAGUUUUAGUACCAGCCCCUGAAUUAGUUUCAGAACCUUCCCCUGAACCAAUUUCAAAACCAGCCCCUGAACCAAUUUCAGAACCAGCCCAAGAACCAGUUUCUGAACAAAUCUCACGACUGGCCCCCGAACAAGUCUCAGAACCAGCCCCAGAACCAGUCCCUGAAUCAGUCUCAGAACUGACCCCUGAAUCAGUCUCAGAACCGGCCCCUGAAAAAAUCUCAGAAACAGCCCCUGAACCCAUCUCAGAACCAGCCCCUGAACCAAUCUCACAACAGGCCCCUAAACCAGUCUCAGAAGCAGCCCCUGAAGCAGUUUCAGAACCUGCCCCUGAACCAAUUUCAGAAACCACUCCUGAACCAAAUUCAGAACCUGCCCAAGAAUCAAUUUCAGAAUCCACUCUUGAACCAGCUUCAGAAUCUUCUCCUGAGACCACUGUAGAAGCAACUGUUGAACCAGUUUCAAAACCAGUUCCAGAACCUGUUGUGGAGCAUAAUGAUGUGGCAGCUGCCCCCAUGGAGGCUGAAGGCAAAACUCCAAGCUUCAAACCUGGCAAAAAGAAAGCCAUGAAAUUUGACACGAUGAUGACCAAGGAAGAGCUGGAGGAGGAGCAGAGGAUAGAGUUCACAAGUGACUUUACCUCUCUUUAAACAACAUGUGACAGUGUGUCUGUUUGGUCCCACUGCAUCGCCACAGUGCCAAUGAGUAGCUGAGUAAGCAGAAUGAAAGGAACAUCGCCUGGUCUUCCUGUCUGUUUUGCGUUAUGUGAGAAGGGAUCUGCAUAGAAUUACGUUUCAAGACUGCUGGAGGAAUCACCCUUUGUUGACUGUCUCAGCACCUUUCAUAUACUUGUGGAAAAUAAAUCUUGCUGUCUAGCCACCAAAGUUUCUCUCUGUGUACAGACUUGCGUUUUUGCCUGUAACAAAGCAAGCUUUACCAAACAACCUCAAAGAGCCUAAAUAUUAGCAAAGUUCUUAUUUAUGAAAGGGCAAGUGUGCUCGCUGCCCCCAAUGUGUAUGUGGUGUUUCACUGCAUGGAUGGGUUAGAUUGCGGAGGUGAAAUUUCCCCAUCAUGGGACUAAUAAGGGUAACAAUCUUAAUGUCCCCUUGCCCCAUAUCUGUUGUUUUUAGUUAUGCAACAUACUUUUGUCCAUAUUUUAGGCAACAGUAUGUCAGACUGUGUUAGAAGCUGGUCUAUUGAGAUGUCUGAACAUCUUGAUGCAGUUUGUGACAACUAUAUUUAGGCAUACAGUUUGCACAGUACUAAUUUGUGGAGCAUAAGCUUCGUGGUGUUCACAUACAUUGCUAACAUGGCUUGUCUUGACUGAUCAACUCCAUUAGGGGAAAACUGUGGAGGUAAAAAAUUUGCCUGUUUUAUCUAUUUUAGUUAGCAGGACACAAAGUGCAUUAAAGCUGUGUUUUACCCAAAAAUGAUCGCCUGGUUAACAAUGAAUGAAAGGUAAUGGUGACCAGUUAUCUUAAGUUAUUAAUGUUUUUGUUCACCGAAGAUACUUUCUGCCAUGAUAUCUGCAAAAAAAAAUGUAUUGACCCUUUUCUGUUUGUUUCAUUGGCUUUUAUAAUACAUUAUUAAUAAAAAUCCAGGUGGGUGAGCCAUUUUUCCUGAUCAUUCUUUAAUUGCUAAUGAGCAAGCAUGUUCAUAAAGCUAGCAGUGUACAAAUGGCAGUAUUUGAUUUAAAAAAUAAAAAAAUAAAAAAAUAAAAACAUUGUUUCUUUAAGAAAUUUGUGGUAUGUAGUAUGAAAUACUCGAUGGCAUAGUUAGGUUUUCAUUGACGUGCUCUAUGCAAUGCAACAGGUGCACAAAUUACCUCACUGUAAUGUUAUAAAUCAGAUUUGAAAUGUACAAAGCUUUUGACUGUUAAUCAAUUAAUCUUGAAUUUUUAAAAACAAAAAUUAACUGAUCAAUAACAAUACAUGCAGAACUUUCUAAAGAUGGCAAAUACUUUACUGGUUGAUUUUGGGAUCUUCUACCAUAGGGCUUUAACCUCAUACUACAAAUUGAUUAAAUAGAGUACUGAUUAACACUAAGGCUUUGUUGAAAUCCCUGCAUAAAAAAGCAGCAUUAAUGCUUUGAUUGUAAUAUACAGUAAAUUAAAUUGUUUACUCCAUGUUAAUGUGCUUUUUCUCCCCACCCCAGAAUGGUUGUGCAUGGGCCUGGUAACAUCAUUAGGCAGCUCAAAUACAUAGAGGGGAGAACUAACUGCCAAUUAUGUCAUCUGACAGAUGCCCAUAUUGUCCAGCAUCCUCUGAAUUACGAGGUCAUGAAGAGCUAUAGGGUUCAGCAGGAACAGAUAGCUGCCAUCUUUAAGUUGCUAAAGGAUAACCAGGACACAUUUGGUGAGGUGACUGAAGCAGACGUAGAAGAGCAGCUUAAACUCUACACAUACUAGUGCAUACUACAUAUGCAUGUAGAUAUGUAUGAGGCACAAAAAAGGACCAGCAAGUUCUUACAGGUGAUUUCAAAGUCAGGACAUCAUUGAAUUGUUCAAAAAGCACAAAGCCAGAAAAGUGUACAGAGAAUGAGCGAAAGUCAGCAGAAAACAAUUCUUCUGCAGUUUAUUUAUGAUAAAAAUGAUAAAAUAUGAUAUGAUAAAAAUAAAUGACAGUAGAAGUGAAUAUCCAGCAUGACAGGUAUGACAGAACAACAUGGUUGUACUCCAGUUACAUGUUUACUUUUUCUUUUUAAAAAAAAAAAAAAAAAAAAUCCUUUUUACUUUUAUGCCAAAAGGCAAAAAUAUUCACCCUAAAAAAAAGUUUCAAACUCCAAACCAUACCAACUAGUCUAAAUAAAGAUGUUUGCAGUGACUCUUACUUAAGUAUAUUAUGUAAGAGGUCUUCACACUCUUUGGAUUUAACAUUUGCUUACAUUAAUCAGUUUUGAAUUAUAUACAACAUCCUAAUUGAUCACAAAUUAGUACAUCAGUACAUUAGUACAUUAGAUUCAGUACAUCAAGUCUUCAGAAGCAUCUGCAUUGGAGAAUGUACACAAUUUUAUGUACAUACAUUUCUCUAAAUCUGAUCUCACUGCUGACGUCUAAUAGAUGAACUGAAGUGUCAAAAUGAAUCUCUAUCACAUAUGUUGCAGCUGUGCUAAGAACCUAAGAACCACAUCUGGUUUCUCAGUUUAGUUUGUCUUAACUAUGUGUGUCAGUUGGAGAUGCAGCUGCCACUAGAGCCCCAAGCCAUAUAUGUAAGGCUCCAAUGAUUAUAGACAGCUUGUACUUACAUAAGGGGGAACCAGGAUACUUCAUAAACUGAGGCUCUCCAAGCCAGUAAAGAGAGAGAAAGGAGAGAGAAUGCUAGCUGGAGACCAAUCUAUGUAAACUCAAUUUGUAAGUAACCUUAGCAGGUUGUAUUUUCAGUUUAACCCCUUAAUAUUCCACGGUUAUUACAUACUAAGGCUUAUUUUUCAGUAACUACAGGGAUUUCAAUGCAAACUAAUGGAGCUUUUCUUAGAUUAUAGAGUAUAGUGUGUAAUAAAACUUGCUAAGUGGUUAAUGUCUGGUUUUGUUUCUCAUGUUUAAAUAAAAUCUCCAAUUUGAACCCAUGUUUAGCCCCUGUUUGUGUUCCCUGGGGUUCUCCUUAGCUUCCCAGCCAGAGUGCCUCAGCCCUAUCCCAGGCCAACCACAUACAAUGGAAGGAAUUUUAAAGGGAAGUUCUCAAGUUAUGCACAUCACAGUGUACUCCACUCUGACCUGUAAUCAAAAUGGAACUUUUUUCACCUUGAUGGUUCAUGUUCCUGGUCAUAAGAGACCAUGUUUAUUUACCUGAAAUCUUUCAUCAAAAUGUAAAUACUUUUACCAGCCUCUAAAACAUCUUUUGAUUUUUGAUUGUCACUGUGCACUACUGGAUCCAAUAAAACAAUUAUUACCACUAAUAUGCUUCACCUUCCCCCAAACCACUCCCAUCUGUCAACGUGCAAAAACCAGUAAGCUAGCUCAGAGAUCCCCUCUAUGCCAUGUUUCACUCAGAAAUGUCUCAGUACAGAAGGAAAUGUUUAACCAUUAUAAAUUCACAUGGACUUUAAAUCUUUCUUAUUUUGUGGUGCUUUUUUGAUCAGCAGUUGUACCUCGUAUUAGGUUUGCUUACUCUGUGUUUGAGAUGUGUUGAAAAUAAAACUGUUUAAAAUCUUGA
Molecule: RNA transcript, 5320 nt
Organism: Pygocentrus nattereri (red-bellied piranha)
Lineage: Eukaryota; Metazoa; Chordata; Actinopteri; Characiformes; Serrasalmidae
Gene name: FILIA-N KH-like domain-containing protein
Exons: 7
Source: RefSeq, a predicted model, not a curated record